GACGAACGCUGGCGGCGUGCUUAACACAUGCAAGUCGAACGGAACGGCCCUUUUUUUGUGGUUUGCUCGUGAGUCUAUUGGGUGUGAAUCACGGACGGAUCAUUACCUCGUCUUUGGGCUACCUUGUGCAAGCGGGGGAUAUUACGGAACAGGUGCUCCUACUGCAUGGGGGGGCUGGAUAGCUUUAGGCGGUGUGGAAUGGUCUGGCGGUAUAUCAGCUUGUCGCGUGGGUUGGGCUUGACCAUGGCUUGGAGGGGUAGCCGGCCUGAGAGGGGUACCGGACACAUUGGGACUGAGAUACGGCCCAGACUCCUACGGGAGGCAGCAGAGGAGAAUAGUGCACAAUGGGCGGAAGCCUGAUGCAGCAACGCCGCGUGCGGGAUGACGACAUUCGGGUUGUAAACCGCUUUCGCCUGAGACGAAGCGUGAGUGACGGUAAUGGGUAAAGAAGCACCGGCUAACUACGUG
This 468-nucleotide ribosomal RNA is filed under the name uncultured bacterium. RNAcentral's name for it is "partial 16S ribosomal RNA". It matches the Rfam family "Bacterial small subunit ribosomal RNA", at positions 28 to 507 of the family's 1533-position model. The record is from RNAcentral.